GACGAACGCUGGCGGCGUGCUUAACACAUGCAAGUCGAACGGAAAGGCCCUGCUUUUGUGGGGUGCUCGAGUGGCGAACGGGUGAGUAACACGUGAGUAACCUGCCCUUGACUUUGGGAUAACUUCAGGAAACUGGGGCUAAUACCGGAUAGGAGCUCCUGCUGCAUGGUGGGGGUUGGAAAGUUUCGGCGGUUGGGGAUGGACUCGCGGCUUAUCAGCUUGUUGGUGGGGUAGUGGUUUACCAAGGCUUUGACGGGUAGCCGGCCUGAGAGGGUGACCGGCCACAUGGGGACUGAGAGACGGACCAGACGCCUACGGGAGGCAGCAGUGGGGAAUAUUGCACAAUGGGCGGAAGCCUGAUGCAGCAACGCCGCGUGCGGGAUGACGGCCUUCGGGUUGUAAACCGCUUUCGCCUGUGACGAAGCGUGAGUGACGGUAAUAGGUAAAGAAGCACCGGCUAACUACGUG
Molecule: ribosomal RNA, 468 nt
Filed under: uncultured bacterium
Lineage: Bacteria
Description: partial 16S ribosomal RNA
Rfam family: Bacterial small subunit ribosomal RNA
Source: RNAcentral